RNAcentral lists this transfer RNA (65 nucleotides) under Cautires sp. UPOL A00057. Its description in RNAcentral is "tRNA-Glu". The record is from RNAcentral. RNAcentral also lists the same sequence under 1 other name. Lineage: Eukaryota; Metazoa; Arthropoda; Insecta; Coleoptera; Lycidae.
AUUUCUAUUUAUAUAGUUUAAAUAAAACAUUAUAUUUUCAUUAUAAAAUUAAAUAACUUUUGUAA